Molecule: long non-coding RNA, 696 nt
Filed under: Parus major (Great Tit)
Lineage: Eukaryota; Metazoa; Chordata; Aves; Passeriformes; Paridae
Description: lncRNA (ENSPMJG00000002255.1)
Source: RNAcentral
AAAAAGCAUCGCCAGAAGUGCUCAUUCCCACCUGGGCCGCUAAAUGUGCAUAAAGGACUCGUGCAGAGGUGCGUGCGUAUAAUGUGUGAGUUACAGAGCUAUUAUUAUCUAAAGUCAGAGCCAAUCAUAAGCAAGCAGCUGGUACGUAGUUACUAUCACAGUGGAGUGUGAACAGAAGUGGGGUUGGGGUUUUUUGAGAGCCUGACUGCAGUUGACUGAGAACAGAAACACAGAAGCUAGAUUUACCUGGUCCAUGUCUACAGAGUGUGCAAAGCCUUAUACAAAACAAAAGUUGUCUAUUGCAGCCCAAGCAAGAGAAAGUCAGAUAAUAAGCAGAAGGAUUACGCCACAUCUGGAUGUAUUGCCUUCCAUGACAAAGGAGGUGUUUUCCUGUGCUUUCACCACUCAUAUUGCUACAUCAUGUGUAAAAAAUGUAGCAUUUCAGAGGUAACCUUAUUAUACUGGAUAUGAAGCAGGAAAAAAGAGACAUUGGUCAGGUGAAAGAAUAUAUAUAUAAAAUGGAUUCAGCAGCUAAUAUUGAAGACAGCAAUAUAUACGCAAAGAAAAAAAUAAGUCAGAGAACAGAGACAAGUCUAAAAGAAACACCAUUGAGGGGUGUUUCUUUUCAAAGAAACAAUGAAGGGGGAAAUUUCUUAGACCAAUAAACCCACAUGUUCUACUGGGAUGUGGAAAAUG